This 407-nucleotide ribosomal RNA is filed under the name Verrucomicrobiota bacterium. Its description in RNAcentral is "Verrucomicrobia bacterium partial 16S ribosomal RNA". It matches the Rfam family "Bacterial small subunit ribosomal RNA", at positions 355 to 776 of the family's 1533-position model. Lineage: Bacteria; Pseudomonadati; Verrucomicrobiota. The record is from RNAcentral.
UGGGGAAUAUUGGACAAUGGACCAAGAGUCUGAUCCAGCAAUUCUGUGUGCACGAUGAAGUUUUUCGGAAUGUAAAGUGCUUUCAGUUGGGAAGAAACAAAUGACGGUACCAACAGAAGAAGUGACGGCUAAAUACGUGCCAGCAGCCGCGGUAAUACGUAUGUCACAAGCGUUAUCCGGAUUUAUUGGGCGUAAAGCGCGUCUAGGUGGUUAUAUAAGUCUGAUGUGAAAAUGCAGGGCUCAACUCUGUAUUGCGUUGGAAACUGUAUAACUAGAGUACUGGAGAGGUAAGCGGAACUACAAGUGUAGAGAUGAAAUUCGUAGAUAUUUGUAGGAAUGCCGAUGGGGAAGCCAGCUUACUGGACAGAUACUGACGCUGAAGCGCGAAAGCGUGGGUAGCAAACAGG